GGUCGAAAGAGGAAAUUCAAUCGCGUUUCGGCUGUCGAAGUUGAACGUUUGUAUGAAAAAUGAAGUUUCGGCUUCGUUUGCGUCUUACGUUCUUUGAGUCGAUGUCGAACGCGUGCACUUUUCCUCUAGUAGGACGUCGCGAUCCGUUGGGUGUCUGUCUAAGACUUGGGGUGGAGCCCGCGCGAUUUUUAAUUGCGUGGACCCUCGAUGUUCCGACAGACUCGCUCGACGGUAUACUAAUGGCGCGGGGCCGCUACUUCAGUUAGCGUUUGGCCCGUAGCAAGCACGUUCUGCGUUUGACAGCGAUCGGACCUGGUGCCGAUUCUGUUCCGGAACGACUGUUGGUUACGG
This 351-nucleotide ribosomal RNA is filed under the name Dercetina varipennis. RNAcentral's name for it is "partial 28S ribosomal RNA". Lineage: Eukaryota; Metazoa; Arthropoda; Insecta; Coleoptera; Chrysomelidae. The record is from RNAcentral.